RNAcentral lists this ribosomal RNA (495 nucleotides) under uncultured bacterium. Its description in RNAcentral is "partial 16S ribosomal RNA". It matches the Rfam family "Bacterial small subunit ribosomal RNA", at positions 28 to 507 of the family's 1533-position model. The record is from RNAcentral.
GACGAACGCUGGCGGCGUGCCUAAUACAUGCAAGUAGAACGCUGAAGGAGGAGCUUGCUUCUCUGGAUGAGUUGCGAACGGGUGAGUAACGCGUAGGUAACCUGCCUGGUAGCGGGGGAUAACUAUUGGAAACGAUAGCUAAUACCGCAUAAGAGUAGAUGUUGCAUGACAUUUGCUUAAAAGGUGCAAUUGCAUCACUACCAGAUGGACCUGCGUUGUAUUAGCUAGUUGGUGAGGUAACGGCUCACCAAGGCAACGAUACAUAGCCGACCUGAGAGGGUGAUCGGCCACACUGGGACUGAGACACGGCCCAGACUCCUACGGGAGGCAGCAGUAGGGAAUCUUCGGCAAUGGACGGAAGUCUGACCGAGCAACGCCGCGUGAGUGAAGAAGGUUUUCGGAUCGGAAAGCUCUGUUGUAAGAGAAGAACGAGUGUGAGAGUGGAAAGUUCACACUGUGACGGUAUCUUACCAGAAAGGGACGGCUAACUACGUG